CCUUCAUUUGUCAUUGUUGCAACCAAUGCAAAUGCCCAAGGAAUCAAAAGAAAAUGCCAACGCAACAUCCUACUGUACACAAACAAAUGAAAAAUUUGGCCAAUUUAAAUCUGGAAAUAUCUCAAACACAUGCAUCUGCAAGAAGCUUAUCGAAUGGUCAAGAAAUCAAAUGUGAACGGAAAUCGUAAAAGCCCAUUGCCAAAAUGUUAGUGUUCGUUGUCAAUGUAUCCAUGCCUGUACAUUGCCUGUUGUCGAUUUCGUUGAUGUCCUUAUGCCGUAAAUCCCUUGUCGGCAAUAAUAUAUGUGCACAAAUAACGACAAAAACAAAUGGAUGUCCGUAUACCGCCUGUUGGUAAUGAAGUGUGUAUACAACAAAAGUCUGUAGACGUUAAACCUUGUAUGCAAACUGGAUAUAAGAAUGAAAAUGCGACAUGUCCUGCAGUAAAUGCCUUAUAUGAUGCCUGUAAUCACAAACAUCAAAUGCAAAUGGACAUUGGAAAGUCCACAAAUAGUCAAAUGCCAGCAAUCCGUUUGUGCCCUAUCGUAUGCGACUGAUGUCUAUUUCCUGUCUAUCAGCCUAUUUCGUAGUGCCUUAUAUGAAGAUGUGUAUGGCAGGUAUAAAAUAUGUUGUAUGGGCGAUAACCAGCUGCAAUGCACAACAAAAAAAAGCAAACCUAUGUCUGUCCGUCCGAAGUAACCACACAAUCAAAUAUCAAAAGGAACUCUUUCUACAUGCGUGGACCUCUGAAUGGCGAAGAUAAGUACACAUUUCAAAUUCAAUUAUUACAAUCUUCUAAUUCGUUUCUUCUCUUUACAGGUAAUUCUUUUCUCAUACAUUUUCUAAUCUAUUUCUUUCCUUUCUAAAUUCCAGGUCAAUAAUGGAAAAACAUCAAUACAAAAGUCAUCAAAUAAGCUGCUAUGAUCUGACAUCUAUAAUAUAAAUGCAACAUAAUAGUGGCCAGCGCCAUUGAUAAGGACAAUAUACAUAGGUAUGAUGGCUGAAAUCUUGUAACGGAUCAAGUGAUGGUGGAGAAUGGUGUAUAGCUUUAAGAAUUACUUUUAGUUUAACAAUUUCAAAUUAAAUUUAAAAAAAAUACUUUAGGCUGAAAUUUAAGAUGUAAAAUAAUAAAUUUCAUUUAAUUUUUUUUUCAAUAAAAAACAAAGAAAUCUA
Stomoxys calcitrans (stable fly) is the source of this 1171-nucleotide long non-coding RNA. RefSeq lists it as uncharacterized. The record is from RefSeq and is a predicted model, not a curated record. The transcript has 3 exons. NCBI's taxonomy places the organism in Eukaryota, Metazoa, Arthropoda, Insecta, Diptera, Muscidae.